RNAcentral lists this long non-coding RNA (376 nucleotides) under Musa acuminata (dwarf banana). RNAcentral's name for it is "long non-coding RNA (MACU_LNC010939)". The record is from RNAcentral. Lineage: Eukaryota; Viridiplantae; Streptophyta; Magnoliopsida; Zingiberales; Musaceae.
AGUUGAUAGGCUAGUUCGCCCAUCAGGCUCGAGUCAUUAUAUUUGGUAUCAGAGCCGACCUAGCAUUUGGGCAUGGUGAGGGGGCUCGAGUAGGAAAGGGCUACCCGUAGACGGAGUCAGAGGACUCGUCACGGCGUGAAGCCACCACUGAGCUGCGCCUCACAUGCACUAUGCUAGGGCCUGAUUUGGGUUAUGUUGGGGCUUGACGAGGACGUCAAGCCUUUGAGUGGGGGUGAUUGUAACAUCCCUGAUUAGUCCCACAUCGAAAGUGGGCAAGACUAAGAUUGACUUAUAAGGGUCUGAUGAGUGUACUAUUAUCAACUUCAGCUUAAGCAUUUUGGUCAGUGGUUUAGACCAAACGAAGUUGAUAGGCUAG